RNAcentral lists this ribosomal RNA (494 nucleotides) under uncultured bacterium. RNAcentral's name for it is "partial 16S ribosomal RNA". It matches the Rfam family "Bacterial small subunit ribosomal RNA", at positions 28 to 507 of the family's 1533-position model. The record is from RNAcentral.
GACGAACGCUGGCGGCGUGCUUAACACAUGCAAGUCGAACGGUGAAGCGCCUUCCUUUUUGGUGGGUGUGGAUGAGUGGCGAACGGGUGAGUAACACGUGAGUAACCUGCCCCCUUCUUCUGGAUAACCGCUUGAAAGUGUGGCUAAUACGGGAUAUUCUGGGUCUGUCGCAUGAUGGGUCUGGGAAAGAUAUUGUUUCGGUGGGGGAUGGGCUCGCGGCCUAUCAGCUUGUUGGUGGGGUGAUGGCCUACCAAGGCGGUGACGGGUAGCCGGCCUGGGAGGGUGGACGGGCACACUGGAACUGAGACACGGCCAAGCCUCCUACGGGAGGCAGCAGUGGGGAAUAUUGGACACUGGGGGCGAGCAUGAUGCAGCGACGCCGCGUGAGGGAUGGAGGCCUUCGGGUUGUGAACCUCUUGCGCCAGUGAAGCAGGCCUGCCUCGUUUGUGGGUGGGUUGACGGUAGCUGGAUAAGAAGCGCCGGCUAACUACGUG